Small nucleolar RNA from Vicia villosa (hairy vetch), 144 nucleotides. RefSeq annotates it as small nucleolar RNA snoR135. The record is from RefSeq and is a predicted model, not a curated record. Lineage: Eukaryota; Viridiplantae; Streptophyta; Magnoliopsida; Fabales; Fabaceae. The transcript has a single exon.
UGGGCAGGGAUUGUGUGUAUUCAUGUCGUACGGCAAUUAUUGCAUUCUUCCAAGAGAACUCCAUGCAACAUAAAGUUGGGAAAGAUGCGCAGUUGUGUUUCAUCUUUAUGGUUGAAAAUAGCAGCAAUCAGCUGCUCUACAUUU